RNAcentral lists this ribosomal RNA (252 nucleotides) under uncultured bacterium. RNAcentral describes it as "partial 16S ribosomal RNA". It matches the Rfam family "Bacterial small subunit ribosomal RNA", at positions 524 to 776 of the family's 1533-position model. The record is from RNAcentral.
UACGUAGGGGGCAAGCGUUGUCCGGAAUUAUUGGGCGUAAAGCGCGCGCAGGCGGUCAAUUAAGUUGGGUGUUUAAGCCCGGGGCUCAACCCCGGUUCGCAUCCAAAACUGGUUGACUUGAGUGUAGGAGAGGAAAGUGGAAUUCCACGUGUAGCGGUGAAAUGCGUAGAGAUGUGGAGGAACACCAGUGGCGAAGGCGGCUACCUGGACCGGUUCUGACGCUGAGGCGCGAAAGCGUGGGUAGCAAACAGG